UAAGGAAUAUUGGUCAAUGGACGCAAGUCUGAACCAGCCAUGCCGCGUGAAGGAUUAAGGUCCUCUGGAUUGUAAACUUCUUUUCUCUGGGACGAAACCCCCUGUAUCCACAGGGCCUGACGGUACCAGAGGAAUAAGCACCGGCUAACUCCGUGCCAGCAGCCGCGGUAAUACGGAGGGUGCAAGCGUUAUCCGGAUUCACUGGGUUUAAAGGGUGCGUAGGUGGACAUUUAAGUCAGUGGUGAAAUCUUUGGGCUUAACCCGAAAACUGCCAUUGAUACUAUUUGUCUUGAAUUCUCUGGAGGUAAGCGGAAUAUGUCAUGUAGCGGUGAAAUGCUUAGAUAUGACAUAGAACACCCAUUGCGAAGGCAGCUUACUACGGAGACAUUGACACUGAGGCACGAAAGCGUGGGGAUCAAACA
This 422-nucleotide ribosomal RNA is filed under the name uncultured Lacibacter sp. RNAcentral's name for it is "bacterial SSU rRNA". It matches the Rfam family "Bacterial small subunit ribosomal RNA", at positions 355 to 774 of the family's 1533-position model. Lineage: Bacteria; Pseudomonadati; Bacteroidota; Chitinophagia; Chitinophagales; Chitinophagaceae. The record is from RNAcentral.